RNAcentral lists this ribosomal RNA (497 nucleotides) under uncultured microorganism. Its description in RNAcentral is "bacterial SSU rRNA". It matches the Rfam family "Bacterial small subunit ribosomal RNA", at positions 9 to 526 of the family's 1533-position model. The record is from RNAcentral.
GAGUUUGAUCGUGGCUCAGGAUGAACGCUGACGGCGCGCCUAAUACAUGCAAGUCGAACGGCACCCCUCUCCGGAGGGAAGCGAGUGGCGAACGGCUGAGUAACACGUGGAGAACCUGCCCCUCCCCGGGAUAGCCGCCCGAAAGGACGGGUAAUACCGGAUACCCCGGGGUGCCGCAUGGCGCCCCGGCUAAAGCCCCGACGGGAGGGGAUGGCUCCGCGGCCCAUCAGGUAGACGGCGGGGUGACGGCCCACCGUGCCGACAACGGGUAGCCGGGUUGAGAGACCGACCGGCCAGAUUGGGACUGAGACACGGCUCAGACUCCUACGGGAGGCAGCAGUGGGGAAUCCUUGCGCAAUGGGGGGAACCCUGACGCAGCGACGCCGCGUGCGGGACGGAGGCCUUCGGGUCGUAAACCGCUUUCAGCAGGGAAGAGUCAAGACUGUACCUGCAGAAGAAGCCCCGGCUAACUACGUGCCAGCAGCCGCCGCAGUAAC